UAUAUCAUCCAAUUUGAAUCGUCAAAAUACAUAUUACAAACACAAAUUCUCUUCACCAAAAUCAAUUAUUAAAAUGCCAUGAACAUACAACAAUACACAUAUUUUAAGUUCUCAAUACAAUUAUUGUGCGGACAAUAUUAACACCCAAAUUAAGUUCUGAAUACAAUUAUUGUCACAAUAUUUUAUAAUGUAUUGAAAAACUUUUACAGUCUUGGACCAUCACUCCAUUCUCUUGCUCUCCCCGCUAGACCCGGCUACACUCUUAUUUAUUGGAAGGAGUUAUGAAACAAAAGGGUGAUCACAAAUAGCCUAGUAAAGAAUAUCAUAAAUAAGAUAUUUAGAACAUAGGGUAGCUGAUGUAAAUAAUUGUAGCGGAAUGAUCAAUUCAAAAUGGUUCAGAUAAUAAUAUCUUCUAUCUUCUCCAAUUGAAAAUUUUCAGGUCAAUAUUUUAUCCAUGUUACAUCAAUCAACAGUUCCUCUUUGCACCCCGACCAAUGAGAACUUCCACCGCCUGUCUUUAUAUGUAACAUCAAAGAUCAUGCUUAUACUAACUCAAGUUCCUAUUCAUAAUCAUUGCAUUCAAUAUUUCUUGGUCAUAAUCAUGCCGAUCAAUUUAUCUUUGCACCCAGACCAAGUAUAUUCAAUUAUAACACUAAUGGUCAUGAUCAUACCAAUCCAAAAUUUAUCUUUGCACCCAGGUCAAAUAUAUUCAACUGUAACACCCAUGGUCAUGAUCAUGUCAAUCAACAAUUACUCUUUGCACCCAGGCCAAAGAGAAUUUUCACCACGUGUAAUUGCCACAUAGGCAGAACAUACUCAACAAUUAUCUUGUCUUUGCACCCAUACCAAGGACAUUUAGAACAACUUAAUCUUAAUAAUUAGUAAAGAUAACAAUGAUGUAAUGAAUGGAGAAAAAUAAUUAGAAUAAUAAUAUAAAGAAUAAAUAUUAAUA
RNAcentral lists this long non-coding RNA (952 nucleotides) under Panax ginseng (ginseng). RNAcentral describes it as "long non-coding RNA (PGIN_LNC014331)". The record is from RNAcentral. Lineage: Eukaryota; Viridiplantae; Streptophyta; Magnoliopsida; Apiales; Araliaceae.